UCAUGAGUCAAAAUUAGAAAUAUGUGAAAGUGUUUUGUUUCGCAGCACAUCUUCUGGUGGACAUUGUCAAAAUACAGGGAUGAUAACUAAAACAAAGAUACCUGUCAUGUGACCCAAUUUGCCAGCGCCUUGAAAGGUAUUCAUUAUUAAGAUUAUAUAGUGGUGCCUUGAGAGGUGUUCAUUAUUAAGAUUAUAUAGUGGUGCCUUGAGAGGUGUUCAUUAUUAAGAUUGUAUAGUGGUGCCUUGAGAGGUGUUCAUUAUUAAGAUUAUAUAGUGGUGCCUUGAGAGGUGUUCAUUAUUAAGAUUAUAUAGUGGUGCCUUGAGAGGUGUUCAUUAUUAAGAUUAUAUAGUGGUGCCUUGAGAGGUGUUCAUUAUUAAGAUUGUAUAGUGGUGCCUUGAGAGGUGUUCAUUAUUAAGAUUGUAUAGUGGUGCCUUGAGAGGUGUUCAUUAUUAAGAUUGUAUAGUGGUGCCUUGAGAGGUGUUCAUUAUUAAGAUUGUAUAGUGGUGCCUUGAGAGGUGUUCAUUAUUAAGAUUGUAUAGUGGUGCCUUGAGAGGUGUUCAUUAUUAAGAUUGUAUAGUGGUGCCUUGAGAGGUGUUCAUUAUUAAGAUUGUAUAGUGGUGCCUUGAGAGGUGUUCAUUAUUAAGAUUAUAUAGUGGUGCCUUGAGAGGUGUUCAUUAUUAAGAUUGUAUAGUGGUGCCUUGAGAGGUGUUCAUUAUUAAGAUUAUAUAGUGGUGCCUUGAGAGGUGUUCAUUAUUAAGAUUAUAUAGUGGUGCCUUGAGAGGUGUUCAUUAUUAAGAUUAUAUAGUGGUGCCUUGAGAGGUGUUCAUUAUUAAGAUUAUAUAGUGGUGCCUUGAGAGGUGUUCAUUAUUAAGAUUAUAUAGUGGUGCCUUGAGAGGUGUUCAUUAUUAAGAUUAUAUAGUGGUGCCUUGAGAGGUGUUCAUUAUUAAGAUUAUAUAGUGGUGCCUUGAGAGGUGUUCAUUAUUAAGAUUGUAUAGUGGUGCCUUGAGAGGUGUUCAUUAUUAAGAUUAUAUAGUGGUGCCUUGAGAGGUGUUCAUUAUUAAGAUUGUAUAGUGGUGCCUUGAGAGGUGUUCAUUAUUAAGAUUAUAUAGUGGUGCCUUGAGAGGUGUUCAUUAUUAAGAUUGUAUAGUGGUGCCUUGAGAGGUGUUCAUUAUUAAGAUUAUAUAGUGGUGCCUUGAGAGGUGUUCAUUAUUAAGAUUGUAUAGUGGUGCCUUGAGAGGUGUUCAUUAUUAAGAUUGUAUAGUGGUGCCUUGAGAGGUGUUCAUUAUUAAGAUUGUAUAGUGGUGCCUUGAGAGGUGUUCAUUAUUAAGAUUAUAUAGUGGUGCCUUGAGAGGUGUUCAUUAUUAAGAUUGUAUAGUGGUGACUUGAGAGGUGUUCAUUAUUAAGAUUGUAUAGUGGUGCCUUGAGAGGUGUUCAUUAUUAAGAUUGUAUAGUGGUGACUUGAGAGGUCAACUGUUUGGGUUGGAUGUGUCCUCAUAAUGCUGUUUCACUUUGUUUCACUGUUUCACUUUCCCACGAGGCUCCCAAUUUUGUAGUCUC
Molecule: long non-coding RNA, 1558 nt
Organism: Oncorhynchus keta (chum salmon)
Lineage: Eukaryota; Metazoa; Chordata; Actinopteri; Salmoniformes; Salmonidae
Exons: 3
Source: RefSeq, a predicted model, not a curated record